Molecule: ribosomal RNA, 253 nt
Filed under: uncultured bacterium
Lineage: Bacteria
Description: partial 16S ribosomal RNA
Rfam family: Bacterial small subunit ribosomal RNA
Source: RNAcentral
UACGUAGGGCGCAAGCGUUGUCCGGAAUUAUUGGGCGUAAAGAGCUCGUAGGCGGUUUGUCGCGUCUGUCGUGAAAGCCCACGGCUUAACCGUGGGUCUGCGGUGGAUACGGGCAGACUAGAGGCAGGUAGGGGAGAAUGGAAUUCCCGGUGUAGCGGUGAAAUGCGCAGAUAUCGGGAGGAACACCGGUGGCGAAGGCGGUUCUCUGGGCAGUAACUGACGCUGAGGAGCGAAAGCGUGGGGAGCGAACAGG